GACGAACGCUGGCGGCGUGCCUAAUACAUGCAAGUUGAGCGCUGAAGGUUGGUACUUGUACCAACUGGAUGAGCAGCGAACGGGUGAGUAACGCGUGGGGAAUCUGCCUUUGAGCGGGGGACAACAUUUGGAAACGAAUGCCAAUACCGCAUAAAAACUUUAAACACAAGUUUUAAGUUUGAAAGAUGCAAUUGCAUCACUCAAAGAUGAUCCCGCGUUGUAUUAGCUAGUUGGUGAGGUAAAGGCUCACCAAGGCGAUGAUACAUAGCCGACCUGAGAGGGUGAUCGGCCACAUUGGGACUGAGACACGGCCCAAACUCCUACGGGAGGCAGCAGUAGGGAAUCUUCGGCAAUAGACGAAAGUCUGACCGAGCAACGCCGCGUGAGUGAAGAAGGUUUUCGGAUCGUAAAACUCUGUUGGUAGAGAAGAACGUUGGUGAGAGUGGAAAGCUCAUCAAGUGACGGUAACUACCCAGAAAGGGACGGCUAACUACGUG
RNAcentral lists this ribosomal RNA (497 nucleotides) under uncultured bacterium. RNAcentral describes it as "partial 16S ribosomal RNA". It matches the Rfam family "Bacterial small subunit ribosomal RNA", at positions 28 to 507 of the family's 1533-position model. The record is from RNAcentral.